This is a non-coding RNA of Stegodyphus mimosarum, 73 nucleotides long. Lineage: Eukaryota; Metazoa; Arthropoda; Arachnida; Araneae; Eresidae. The record is from Rfam.
ACCUUCGUGGCGUAGCGGUCAGCACGCUCGACGCGUAUUCGAGAGGUCCGUGGUUCGAUUCCCGGCGAAUGCG